UACGUAGGGUGCAAGCGUUGUCCGGAAUUAUUGGGCGUAAAGAGCUCGUAGGCGGUUCGCUGCGUCGGCUGUGAAAACCUGAGGCUCAACCUCAGGCCUGCAGUCGAUACGGGCGGACUUGAGUACUGCAGGGGAGACUGGAAUUCCUGGUGUAGCGGUGAAAUGCGCAGAUAUCAGGAGGAACACCGGUGGCGAAGGCGGGUCUCUGGGCCGUAACUGACGCUGAGGAGCGAAAGCGUGGGGAGCGAACAGG
This 253-nucleotide ribosomal RNA is filed under the name uncultured bacterium. RNAcentral describes it as "partial 16S ribosomal RNA". It matches the Rfam family "Bacterial small subunit ribosomal RNA", at positions 524 to 776 of the family's 1533-position model. The record is from RNAcentral.